CGUACGGGACGACCCGCGCGAUCCUCGCGUACGCGGGGGAGGACGACCUCG
RNAcentral lists this non-coding RNA (51 nucleotides) under Curtobacterium sp. RNAcentral's name for it is "Guanidine-II sequence". It matches the Rfam family "Guanidine-II riboswitch aptamer (mini-ykkC)". From Rfam's summary of the family: Simpler in structure and has fewer highly conserved nucleotide positions than the ykkC-yxkD leader. Despite this each of its two stem-loop structures directly bind free guanidine. The record is from RNAcentral. Lineage: Bacteria; Bacillati; Actinomycetota; Actinomycetes; Micrococcales; Microbacteriaceae. RNAcentral also lists the same sequence under 1 other name.